UCGAGGAUCUUCGGCAAUGGGGGCAACCCUGACCGAGCGACGCCGCGUGUGCGACGAAGGCCUUCGGGUUGUAAAGCACUGUCGAGGGGGAGAAAAGCGCAAGCUUGAUCCAUCCCUGGAGGAAGCACGGGCUAAGUUCGUGCCAGCAGCCGCGGUAAGACGAACCGUGCGAACGUUGUUCGGAAUCACUGGGCUUAAAGGGCGCGUAGGCGGGCUGCCAAGUCCGGGGUGAAAUCCCACGGCUCAACCGUGGAACGGCCCGGGAUACUGGCGGCCUCGAGGGGGGUAGGGGCCCGCGGAACUAUGCGUGGAGCGGUGAAAUGCGUUGAUAUGCAUAGGAACUCCGGUGGCGAAGGCGGCGGGCUGGACCCCUUCUGACGCUGAGGCGCGAAAGCCAGGGGAGCGAACGGGAUUAGAUACCCCUGUAGUCC
RNAcentral lists this ribosomal RNA (431 nucleotides) under uncultured bacterium. RNAcentral's name for it is "bacterial SSU rRNA". It matches the Rfam family "Bacterial small subunit ribosomal RNA", at positions 355 to 796 of the family's 1533-position model. The record is from RNAcentral.